CCAACGGCCCUUUUAAGGGCCACCACAUUAUCCAAAGAGCUCAAAA
Regulatory RNA element from Folsomia candida, 46 nucleotides. It matches the Rfam family "Histone 3' UTR stem-loop". From Rfam's summary of the family: The mRNAs of metazoan histone genes lack a poly-A tail. 3' end processing occurs at a site between a highly conserved stem-loop (modelled by this family) and a purine rich region around 20 nts downstream (the histone downstream element, or HDE). The record is from Rfam. NCBI's taxonomy places the organism in Eukaryota, Metazoa, Arthropoda, Collembola, Entomobryomorpha, Isotomidae.